UACGUAGGGUGCAAGCGUUGUCCGGAAUUAUUGGGCGUAAAGAGCUCGUAGGCGGUCUGUUGCGUCGGCUGUGAAAACCCGGGGCUCAACUCCGGGCCUGCAGCCGAUACGGGCAGACUAGAGUUCGGCAGGGGAGACUGGAAUUCCUGGUGUAGCGGUGAAAUGCGCAGAUAUCAGGAGGAACACCGAUGGCGAAGGCAGGUCUCUGGGCAUUAACUGACGCUGAGGAGCGAAAGCAUGGGGAGCGAACAGG
Molecule: ribosomal RNA, 253 nt
Filed under: uncultured bacterium
Lineage: Bacteria
Description: partial 16S ribosomal RNA
Rfam family: Bacterial small subunit ribosomal RNA
Source: RNAcentral